This 71-nucleotide transfer RNA is filed under the name Candidatus Levyibacteriota bacterium. RNAcentral describes it as "tRNA-Ala". It matches the Rfam family "tRNA". From Rfam's summary of the family: Transfer RNA (tRNA) molecules are approximately 80 nucleotides in length. Their secondary structure includes four short double-helical elements and three loops (D, anti-codon, and T loops). Further hydrogen bonds mediate the characteristic L-shaped molecular structure. tRNAs have two regions of fundamental functional importance: the anti-codon, which is responsible for specific mRNA codon recognition, and the 3' end, to which the tRNAs corresponding amino acid is attached (by aminoacyl-tRNA synthetases). tRNAs cope with the degeneracy of the genetic code in two manners: having more than one tRNA (with a specific anti-codon) for a particular amino acid; and 'wobble' base-pairing, i.e. permitting non-standard base-pairing at the 3rd anti-codon position. The record is from RNAcentral. Lineage: Bacteria; Candidatus Levyibacteriota.
GGGCUUGUAGGUAAAUGGUAUACCGUGGUCUUCGCAUGACCGAGUUCCGAGUUCGAUUCUCGGCAAGUCCA